CCUACGGGGGGCAGCAGUCGAGAAUCAUUCACAAUGGGGGAAACCCUGAUGGUGCGACGCCGCGUGGGGGAAUGAAGGUCUUCGGAUUGUAAACCCCUGUCAUGUGGGAGCAAAUUAAAAAGAUAGUACCACAAGAGGAAGAGACGGCUAACUCUGUGCCAGCAGCCGCGGUAAUACAGAGGUCUCAAGCGUUGUUCGGAAUCACUGGGCGUAAAGCGUGCGUAGGCUGUUUCGUAAGUCGUGUGUGAAAGGUGCGGGCUCAACCCGCGGACGGCACAUGAUACUGCGAGACUAGAGUAAUGGAGGGGGAACCGGAAUUCUCGGUGUAGCAGUGAAAUGCGUAGAUAUCGAGAGGAACACUCGUGGCGAAGGCGGGUUCCUGGACAUUAACUGACGCUGAGGCACGAAGGCCAGGGGAGCGAAAGGGAUUAGAUACCCGGGUAGUC
Molecule: ribosomal RNA, 446 nt
Filed under: uncultured bacterium
Lineage: Bacteria
Description: partial 16S ribosomal RNA
Rfam family: Bacterial small subunit ribosomal RNA
Source: RNAcentral